Molecule: ribosomal RNA, 482 nt
Filed under: uncultured bacterium
Lineage: Bacteria
Description: bacterial SSU rRNA
Rfam family: Bacterial small subunit ribosomal RNA
Source: RNAcentral
AUUGAACGCUGGCGGCAUGCUUUACACAUGCAAGUCGAACGGCAGCACGGGUGCUUGCACCUGGUGGCGAGUGGCGGACGGGUGAGUAAUACAUCGGAACGUGUCCAGAAGAGGGGGAUAACGCAUCGAAAGAUGUGCUAAUACCGCAUAUGCUCUGAGGAGGAAAGUAGGGGAUCGAAAGACCUUACGCUUUUGGAGCGGCCGAUGUCUGAUUAGCUAGUUGGUGGGGUAACGGCCUACCAAGGCGACGAUCUGUAGCUGGUCUGAGAGGACGAUCAGCCACACUGGGACUGAGACACGGCCCAGACUCCUACGGGAGGCAGCAGUGGGGAAUAUUGCACAAUGGGCGAAAGCCUGAUGCAGCAAUGCCGCGUGUGUGAAGAAGGCCUGCGGGUUGUAAAGCACUUUCAGUAGGGAGGAAACAGUAGCCGGUUAAUAUCCGGUUGCCUUGACGUUACCUACAGAAGAAGCACCGGCUAACU